This 497-nucleotide ribosomal RNA is filed under the name uncultured bacterium. RNAcentral's name for it is "partial 16S ribosomal RNA". It matches the Rfam family "Bacterial small subunit ribosomal RNA", at positions 28 to 507 of the family's 1533-position model. The record is from RNAcentral.
GAUGAACGCUGGCGGCGUGCCUAAUACAUGCAAGUCGAGCGAACAGACGAGGAGCUUGCUCCUCUGACGUUAGCGGCGGACGGGUGAGUAACACGUGGAUAACCUACCUAUAAGACUGGGAUAACUUCGGGACACCGGCGCUAAUACCGGAUACUAUAUUGAACCGCAUGGUUCAAUAGUGAAAGACGGUUUUGCUGUCACUUAUAGAUGGAUCCGCGCUGCAUUAGCUAGUUGGUAAGGUAACGGCUUACCAAGGCUACGAUGCGUAGCCGACCUGAGAGGGAGAUCGGCCACACGGGAACUGAGACUCGGCCCAGACUCCGACGGUAGGCAGCAGUAGAGAAUCUUCCGCAAUGGGGGAAAGCCUGACGGAGCAACGCCGCGGGAGUGAUGAAGGUCUUCGGAUCGUAAAACUCUGUUAUUAGUGAAGAACAAAUGUGUAAGUAACUAUGCACGUCUUGACGGUACCUAAUCAGAAAGCCACGGCUAACUACGUG